GACGAACGCUGGCGGCGUGCUUAACACAUGCAAGUCGAGCGGUAAGGCCCUUUCGGGGGUACACGAGCGGCGAACGGGUGAGUAACACGUGGGUGACCUGCCCUCAGCUCUGGGAUAAGCCUGGGAAACCGGGUCUAAUACCGGAUAUGACUCCAUGACGCAUGUUGUGGGGUGGAAAGCCUUGUGCGGCUGAGGAUGGGCCCGCGGCCUAUCAGCUUGUUGGUGGGGUGAUGGCCUACCAAGGCGACGACGGGUAGCCGGCCUGAGAGGGCGACCGGCCACACUGGGACUGAGACACGGCCCAGACUCCUACGGGAGGCAGCAGUGGGGAAUCUUGCGCAAUGGGCGAAAGCCCUGACGCAGCGACGCCGCGUGAGGGAUGACGGCCUGUGUAA
RNAcentral lists this ribosomal RNA (395 nucleotides) under uncultured bacterium. Its description in RNAcentral is "bacterial SSU rRNA". It matches the Rfam family "Bacterial small subunit ribosomal RNA", at positions 28 to 428 of the family's 1533-position model. The record is from RNAcentral.